CCACCUAGGACUUGCACGUGAGAUCUUCAUCUCCUCUUUGUAUAGAUUGGAUCAUAGCCAGGGCACGGGCACAUGGCCGGAGUGCAUGAAGCCACCGGAGCAUAGCCGGGGACUGACACAUGGCCGGAGCGCACAGAGCUCAUGGCUGGGGCGCGCAUGAAGCCCUUACCAGCGAUACAUAUGGGGGCAUAUGUCCUUGAGUUUUGCUAUGGUACUCCCAAACAAUCGUG
RNAcentral lists this long non-coding RNA (230 nucleotides) under Sorghum bicolor (sorghum). RNAcentral describes it as "long non-coding RNA (SBIC_LNC009432)". Lineage: Eukaryota; Viridiplantae; Streptophyta; Magnoliopsida; Poales; Poaceae. The record is from RNAcentral.